UGAGUCACCGGACUCAAACAGUUUGGAGAACCGCAGUCUCCAACCGGCCGGGACGCUUGACGAUACACCCGACACACACGACACACUGACCGGUGACGUGAACUCGCUCCAAACCCGACCCGGGAACAACCCUGAUGCAAUUAUUAUAAAGAACAGUAACGUUUUGUACAAGAGAGCGUCAUGUGACUACGUUCCUGCGGAGUGUUUCUACCUUAAAAUUUUUAUAUAGGUGCACAUUAUAUGUAAUAUUGAGACGACCCUUGCAAGAAACUAUUUCCGCAAAUGUAAUAUAAACUAGAGUUGGAAAAGUGCAAUAUUGACGACACCCUACAGGACUACAGCAGAAUAAAUAUCAAACAGACAGACAGGUUGCACAACAAACACCGAACGAUAACUGACGAGGAAGAACCUUGGAGCUCUCUGUUUUACACUCAAUAUUAGUUAUUGGUGGAGGGAUAUUAUAAUAUUGUAAUUUUCAAGUUCAUUAAUUUAAAUACAUUAAAAGAUAAUUUGAAAUGCAUCAUUUUUAAGUUUUGGCAAAAUAAUUUUAAAUUCAUCGUUUUUCCUACAGAAUAAUGAGGAAAUAUAAUAAAAUGCUUUUCUAAACUAAGAUGUGACCACUUGCAGCUACAAGACUGUUCAAAGUAAAAUAAAUUUUUCUGAUAAAUAAUUUCACAAUUUCGACACGUUUUUGUGUUAAUUUUACAAAUAAUUAUAAAUGUAAUAACUACCUAUAUAAAAAUUAUCAAUGUUCAGGGAUAAGCUAAUCCACGGCAUACCCCCCGAUAUAUGCUUCUGUAGUUGAUUUAAAACUUUUACUGGAACGAUGUAAAACUUCAGUUGUACAGAGUCUUUCGAAGUGUUCUAUAUUUGUAGUAGUUGAGGAUGUGUUUUUUUUUAUAUUUGAGAACAAUUAGUAAAAAGUUCAUUAUCCUGACGACUUUAUUAAAAUCGAAAAAUCAUAUUGUCUUUAUUUAAUGAUUAAAUAAAAAGAGAUUUGUCAAAGUUAUUGAUAUUUA
Molecule: long non-coding RNA, 1019 nt
Organism: Danaus plexippus (monarch butterfly)
Lineage: Eukaryota; Metazoa; Arthropoda; Insecta; Lepidoptera; Nymphalidae
Exons: 2
Source: RefSeq, a predicted model, not a curated record